ACCCAGUUGAUGAGUCUCAAAUAGAACGAAACGCGCGACCUAGAU
This is a non-coding RNA of Schistosoma haematobium, 45 nucleotides long. Lineage: Eukaryota; Metazoa; Platyhelminthes; Trematoda; Strigeidida; Schistosomatidae. The record is from Rfam.